GAGACUUUAGUUUAAUGGUAAAACAUAUGACUUUUAAUCAUUCUAC
This 46-nucleotide transfer RNA is filed under the name Aspergillus nidulans. Its description in RNAcentral is "partial tRNA-Lys". It matches the Rfam family "tRNA", at positions 1 to 46 of the family's 71-position model. Rfam says of the family: Transfer RNA (tRNA) molecules are approximately 80 nucleotides in length. The record is from RNAcentral. Lineage: Eukaryota; Fungi; Ascomycota; Eurotiomycetes; Eurotiales; Aspergillaceae.